This is a long non-coding RNA of Thrips palmi, 407 nucleotides long. RefSeq lists it as uncharacterized. The record is from RefSeq and is a predicted model, not a curated record. Lineage: Eukaryota; Metazoa; Arthropoda; Insecta; Thysanoptera; Thripidae. The transcript is spliced from 3 exons.
CAGCCGCGCCGCCCACCGCCUCCUAUCUCUGCUCUGUAACUGAAAUUCUGUCUUGAAAAAGAAUUAGGGUUACAGGGGUUAUAUACAGGGUGAACACAUUCUUAAUUUAUUUUGUUUUAUUGAGUAGGAUUUUUACUGUCGUCUGCCUUUUGCCUUUUACAACGUUAUUUUGUCUCUUUGUGCGUGUUGGAAAUUUAUGCCAGUGACGAUCCACCUCGAAAAGCCUGCCUAGUCCGCGUACGUGUUAAGUUCGGGAAGGUUAUGACAGGUGCCACUUAGUGAUGCAUUUCUAGUGUGUUUUCCAAGCUUUUAUCAAAAUGGAACCCGGGAUGCGUGAUAAUACAGAAGAGGUGGCGGCGCCGACGCCGGCCGGUGGACCGGGCGCGCCGGGCGGAGGCGCGGUGGCG